CCAAUAGCGUAUAUUAAAGUUGUUGCAGUUAAAAAGCUCGUAGUUGAAUUUUAGGCCUGACCGGACGGUCCGUCUCUGGCGAGUACUGUUCUGUUGUCGGGUCUAUCCUUCUGGUGAGCCGGUAUGCCCUUUAUUGGGUGUGUCGGGGAACCAGGACCAUUACCUUGAAAAAAUUAGAGUGUUUAAAGCGGGCUUUUGCUUGAAUAGAUUAGCAUGGAAUAAUAGAAUAGGACGUUGGUUCUAUUUUGUUGGUCUAGGACCACCGUAAUGAUUAAUAGGGAUAGUUGGGGGAAUUAGUAUUCAAUUGUCAGAGGUGAAAUUCUUGGAUUUAUUGAAGACUAACUACUGCGAAAGCAUUUGCCAAGGAUGUUUUCAUUAAUCAAGAACGAAAGUUAGGGGAUCGAAGACGAUCAGAUACCGUCGUAGUCUUAACCAUAAACUAUGCCGACUAGGAAUCGGGCGACGUUAUUUUCAUGACUCGCUCGGCGCCUUAUG
Molecule: unclassified non-coding RNA, 495 nt
Filed under: uncultured Archaeospora
Lineage: Eukaryota; Fungi; Glomeromycota; Glomeromycetes; Archaeosporales; Archaeosporaceae
Description: SSU rRNA
Rfam family: Eukaryotic small subunit ribosomal RNA
Source: RNAcentral